UUCUGCCCCNUGGACACCCUAAAUGGCCGCGGUAUCCUAACCGUGCAAAGGNAGNNUAAUAAUUUGCCUCUUAAUUAGAGGCUAGAAUGAAUGAAUAAACACAAGUCCGCCUUUACCCUGAGUUCAAAUAAAAAUUAUUCUUUAGGUGAAGAAACCUAAAUACUAUAAAAAGACAAGAAGACCCUAUCAAGCUUUAUAUUUAUUAUCUUUAUAAGAUGUAAAAUAUUUGGUUGGGGCGACUAAUGAAAUCUAAUAUUCUUUCAUAUCAAAUAUGAAAAUACUUCUAACAAUUUAACAAUUUAAAAGAAACAAGCUACUGUAGGGAUAACAGGCUAAUAAUUUCUAAGAGUCCAAAUUAAAGAAAUUGAUUGGCACCUCGAUGUUGGCUUAGGGCCCCGCCCUUCCGCAGGAGGAAGAAACGGUAGAUUGUUCAUCUAUUAAAAUCCU
Molecule: ribosomal RNA, 447 nt
Filed under: cf. Syllidae sp. DH-2009
Lineage: Eukaryota; Metazoa; Annelida; Polychaeta; Phyllodocida; Syllidae
Description: partial 16S ribosomal RNA
Rfam family: Bacterial large subunit ribosomal RNA
Source: RNAcentral